This 384-nucleotide ribosomal RNA is filed under the name uncultured bacterium. Its description in RNAcentral is "bacterial SSU rRNA". It matches the Rfam family "Bacterial small subunit ribosomal RNA", at positions 28 to 420 of the family's 1533-position model. The record is from RNAcentral.
GACGAACGCUGGCGGCGCGCCUAAUACAUGCAAGUCGAACGGGUCUCCUUCGGGAGGUCAGUGGCGAACGGGUGAGUAACACGUGGGUGACCUGCCCUCAGCUCUGGGAUAAGCCCGGGAAACUGGGUCUAAUACCGGAUAUGACUCCAUGACGCAUGUUGUGGGGUGGAAAGCCUUGUGCGGCUGAGGAUGGGCCCGCGGCCUAUCAGCUUGUUGGUGGGGUGAUGGCCACCAAGGCGACGACGGGUAGCCGGCCUGAGAGGGCGACCGGCCACACUGGGACUGAGACACGGCCCAGACUCCUACGGGAGGCAGCAGUGGGGAAUCUUGCGCAAUGGGCGAAAGCCUGACGCAGCGACGCCGCGUGAGGGAUGACGGCCUCGG